Molecule: ribosomal RNA, 464 nt
Filed under: uncultured bacterium
Lineage: Bacteria
Description: partial 16S ribosomal RNA
Rfam family: Bacterial small subunit ribosomal RNA
Source: RNAcentral
GACGAACGCUGGCGGCGUGCUUAACACAUGCAAGUCGAACGGAAAGGCCCUGCUUGCAGGGUACUCGAGUGGCGAACGGGUGAGUAACACGUGGGUGAUCUGCCCUGCACUUCGGGAUAAGCCUGGGAAACUGGGUCUAAUACCGGAAAGGAGCCAUUUUUAGUGUGAUGGUUGGAAAGUUUUUUCGGUGUAGGAUGAGCUCGCGGCCUAUCAGCUUGUUGGUGGGGUAAUGGCCUACCAAGGCGGCGACGGGUAGCCGGCCUGAGAGGGUGGACGGCCACAUUGGGACUGAGAUACGGCCCAGACUCCUACGGGAGGCAGCAGUGGGGAAUAUUGCACAAUGGGCGCAAGCCUGAUGCAGCGACGCCGCGUGGGGGAUGACGGCCUUCGGGUUGUAAACUCCUUUCGCUAGGGACGAAGCUUUUGUGACGGUACCUAGAUAAGAAGCACCGGCUAACUACGUG